ACAUCGUGAACCUCCAUUGUCUUUGCAAUGUUUUCAUGGUGAAGAAUGGAAUUGUAGGCUGGGAUUCGGUUAGAUGCCUUGACUCCUUUUGACAGUUACACCUGCAGCUCUGCCGUCCUGCCAAGGAUCAGCGUAUAGAAGACAAAGGAGGAGGAGGAGGGGCCACCGCCAGCACGGCUUGACUCUCUCAGCCAAACCCUGUGUGUGUGUUUAUGCAGAAGCAGAUCAUUGUGACUUUACUAAAGUAUACUCCCAUGUAAGUGUGUGCAGGAUUACAGCCUUUAGUUUGCUUCAGGGGACAUUACAGAACUCAUCAGCCUCCUAGCAACAGUAAGCCUCCAUUGGCUCAUUUGGAUUCUCAUUAUGAUUCAUCCGUUGACCCAAACAAGGGAUUUCUUUAUCUCCCAUUCUCUGUUUUCUGGAAGCACGGAGGCAAGAGUGCAUGUACAGUAAUACAUUUUACAGAAUUUGACCAUUGCUGAGCUUCUAACCCUUCCUUUCUAACCUUUUUUUUUAAAAAAAAUCAUCAUCAUCAUCAUCAUGAUAAGUCCAUCUUACCUGCUUUGACUUGCUUCUGGGCUCACAGCAUUCUCAGAUGGGGCUGCAACAAGAAAGAAAGAAAAACUCUGAAGAAAGCAAGAACACGACACCUUCAAGACAUUUGAGACCCCUGGCGUUCCUCCAGCAGUACCUCCAGCUCAACAGCUGUUGAAGAAUGCCCUUGCGUACCUUACACUUCUAUUCUAAUAUACAGCCAUGGUGGGAGGAAAGACAAAUAUUUCGGGGAAAUAAUGGCAUCGUUUCCUACCUGCCAUAGUUCACGUUGGCCAUGUGCUGCACUAAGCAAGAAGUUUUGUCUCAUCCAAGCCACAAACCUAGAACAGAUAAAGAUUUAAUAAUUAACAAGAACUUGAGGAGGAACUUGAGUGUGAGAGGCAGUUAAGAAACGGAGAAACCCAAAACUGGGAUGGGGGGAAAU
RNAcentral lists this long non-coding RNA (979 nucleotides) under Pogona vitticeps (central bearded dragon). RNAcentral describes it as "lncRNA (ENSPVIG00000025204.1)". The record is from RNAcentral. Lineage: Eukaryota; Metazoa; Chordata; Lepidosauria; Squamata; Agamidae.